AGGAUUCCCCUAGUAACUGCGAGUGAACCGGGAAAAGCUCAAAUUUUGAAUCUGGCGGUCCAAGGGCCGUCCGAGUUGUAAUCUAGAGAAGCGUCUUCCGCGCUGGACCGUGUAUAAGUUUCCUGGAAUGGAACGUCGUAGAGGGUGACAAUCCCGUCUUUGACACGGACUCCCAGUGCUAUGUGAUGCGCUCUCGACGAGUCGAGUUGUUUGGGAAUGCAGCUCAAAUAGGGUGGUAAAUUCCAUCUAAAGCUAAAUACAGGCGAGAGACCGAUAGCGAACAAGUACCGUGAGGGAAAGAUGAAAAGAACUUUGGAAAGAGAGUUAAACAGUACGUGAAAUUGCUGAAAGGGAAACGCUUGAUGUCAGUCGCAUCGUCCGGGGAUCAGCCUCGCUCUUUUGCUCGGCGUACUUCCUGGUCGAUGGGUCAGCAUCGGUUUCGACCGUCGGAAAAUGGCUCGAGGAACGUGGCACUCUUCGGGGUGUGUUAUAGCCUCGAGUCGAAUACGACGGUCGGGACCGAGGAACUCAGCACGACCUUCGGGUUCGGAGCUUCGGCUCACGUUCGCGUGCUUAGGA
Molecule: ribosomal RNA, 579 nt
Filed under: Suillus spraguei
Lineage: Eukaryota; Fungi; Basidiomycota; Agaricomycetes; Boletales; Suillaceae
Description: partial 25S ribosomal RNA
Rfam family: Eukaryotic large subunit ribosomal RNA
Source: RNAcentral